RNAcentral lists this long non-coding RNA (3243 nucleotides) under Mizuhopecten yessoensis (Yesso scallop). RNAcentral describes it as "uncharacterized LOC110463662". Lineage: Eukaryota; Metazoa; Mollusca; Bivalvia; Pectinida; Pectinidae. The record is from RNAcentral.
UUAUACAUAUAUUUAUAUAUUCACAUCGAUAUAUCCACAUUAACAUGCUCAAUUUUCCCCAGGUGGUGGACAGCCUGAACAACGGAUUUUAAACAACAACAACAACAAUAAGAAAUCUAUGUGGGGAAAACAAAAAAUCCCACAAGCGCCAUCAUCUGCAAACUCUGCGUAUGGUUUUGCUUCAAUGUUUAAUAACCCAGUUGCAGUGUCGAUGUUUUUGUCAGGAAAUAUGCCCGACACUCUUCAGGAAGUGAUACAAAUGAAUAUGGCGGGAAACCUUUUAGGAGGCAGAGGCAUGGGUCAAGGCAUUGGCUUCCGGCAGUUGGCCGCUCUUUCCUUCUUGGAGGGAUUAUCAAAAUGAGAAGAGACGAUAUCACACCAGGGACAUCGCGUCUUUAGGAAGAAGCGAUCCACCAAUGUCAAUAACAUGCGUAUCCUAUCAAUGUUUUCUUUUCAAUUUUUAACACAACUGUGAAGAAAUUGUGAACUGUCAACCUAUAUAUAUCAAAUAGAUUCUAUUUGUCAUACCGGUGAAAUGUAAAGGUUCUUUGUCACUGUUGUUGCAAAAACAUACCUCAUUUGAUGUGUUUGGUGACUGGAAAGGGAACAGUCAUAUCAAUAUAUGUUACUGUGUUUUUACACUGUUUUCAUUCAAAAUAACAUAAAAGUUAAAUCAAAUUCGCGUCAGCUGGUCAAAUGUCAAAUAAUACGAAAAAUUCAUAAGUUUUAUUUUUUAAUUAGGGAAAUAUUAUACUUUCAUACCUACAGACAGAAACAUGGAUGUCAUUAUGGUAUACAAAGUGUAUACAAACCAUACCCAAAUAAUUACCAUUCCGUAACAGUAUUUUCUAUCAAUAUUAGGCUAAAUGUUAAGACCAUGAAUUUACUUCAUUUAUUGUGGAUGGUUAACUACUUUAUUUAUAAAAUAUUUUAACGUCUAAACUUUUAAAAUGUGCAAGACUUCUGUUCAGUCUUAAAUGUAAAUGCUCAAAUACAUGUAUGUUUAUUUCUCAUAUAGUUUCCUUGUGUUGAAAAAUUGAAUUUUACAUCGAAAAACAUGAAUUGUGUUAUGCAUAAUAUUACGCCUCCCAAGCGACUUAGUGACUUUUCCCAGAAAAAUUCCUUUCUAUCAUCCGUUCCAGUUUUUAGUCGCACCGCACUCCGUGAAAAAAAUGUUAGAGAAACGUUCGACAGACUACAGAUGUCCGCGAGGAGAUGAGAUGUUUUUCUCGCCUUUCUAGUGACCUUUUUACGUCUGGGACGUAUAAAAGACUGUCACUUCUUCACUUUAGCGACCUCUUUGUGUAUUUGUAGUUGUUUACGGCGAUCUACGGUAAUAAAGAAAAUAUCAACAGAGAGGUGUAUUCGUCUUCAAUUUCCAUAACAUUGCCGUGGAAGCGUUACACUUAAGCAGCGUGUUCGAAUUUGUCUCUUUAUCAUGUUAAGGAAAUUAUUUCAGGUUUGUGAAAAUAACAAUACGGAAUAUGUAAGAUAUCUAUGAUAUCAUUUAUACUUCAUUACGUUAAUAGGAGACCAAAACACGCUACUUUUGUUAUUUGCUGCAUGAAUGUAUUUACAACUAUAAAAUGUAUUUAUGAUUUCGAAUAUACAUAUAUUACAAAGCAUGUUGAGAAGACGUAUACUAUCCAGCAUGUAAAUUCAUGACACGAUGCCUUAUCUGUAAUCGCGUUGGAAGAAGAUCCUGAUCGAAUUUUUACGACCUGAGGUAACAUUAUACAAUUAUAUUUCCCUUUUAGCUAUUUACUUAUUUACAAGUACGGUGUUGUAGAUUCGUACAUGCUUUUGUUGACUUUUCUAGAUAUGUUGUAGAUUAAAUAUCUUUAUCUGAUACUCUAACCAGUGAUUGAGAAUGUAAUAAAACCUUUCCCAGCCAAAACAAAUUUUGAUAAUAAAUGGUUAUGCAUGUUUUUUUUUAUAUUAUGUGAUAUUGAAUAUAUCAUAUUUUCUAUUAUGAAAUGAAAUUGUAUUAAUAUAGGACAGGUAUCGUGUUCCGAAUGGAACUUAUCGUGGAUAAAUUUACUUAUUAAUAUGUCUAUAGAAGCAUGUUCUACCUUUAAGAAAGUAUAAACAAAAUCAAAAAAAUACAAAUUAUAACAACGCAAACAAUGUCAGUUACCUUUUAAAUGAGGCGGUGAAUGAUCAAUAGAGAAAAUAAUAUCUAGUCCUUACGGUGGGUUGUGUUAGGAAGGAACUCUCUUCCACAGUGUGGAUAUGAUGAGUCCUAUAUUAAUGCACUACACUUUUUAUUUUGAUAAGGAGGUACUCAAGGUGGGUUGAUGAAGCCCGCCGGUGCUCCCGGUGUAGGAAACGCAGGUGCGAUGCCAACUCGACCUAACCCAAUGAUGGCAGGUAUGGCACCAUGGCUGAUGAUGAGCGGAAACGACAUGAUGCGAGAUAUGAUGAGAUGGAACAUGAUGAUGAGAGGCCUUGGUCCAAUGAUGGGAGGCAUGGGAGGUAUGGGAGGCACGGGAGGCAAUGCCCUGCAAAGAUUGAUGUACUUCAAUGCUCUUACUGGAAAUGAUAUGGGAUUCGGAAUGUUUUAAAUCCAGUUCCAAUGACACCAAGCAUACACGUGUGAAUUGAAUCUCAAGAAGAAAGGUGUUGCGGUUAUUCUGUCACGGAGUUCGGAUGGCUCUCGUUAUGUUUUAUGAUACUUGGAGCAACAAAGAAAAUGGAAAAUUUCAAUGAAACGUUUCUUUCUUUUUUUCUUAAUCCAUAAUUCUUUCGACGAGUGCUAACAUACACAUGUAGGGUGUUGAGCUAUUCAUGUAAGGAUAGAACAAUGGUGUCUGUUUCGAUAAUACUAGUUUAAGCUGUGAAUACACGCAUGACUCAGAAACUAUUCUGAUGAGCUGAUAUUCAUUUUCUAUAACACUUUUCUAUUACAUGUAUUAUUUGUGAUAUACCUCAUUCAUAACAAAGUUUUUAUUUCUUUUCUUUUUUUUCAAAAGUGAUUUUUUGUGUUUUGUCUUUUUUUCAAAAAAAAAAAGAUUUUUUUUCAAUAAAUCGAAUAACUGAACGGCGUCUACAAGAAUGAAUGUAAAAUAUGAAAUACAAGAUAUAAUUUUCCAUGGCAAAAUUUGCGUACAAUUAGCUCGUUUUGAGUUUUUCUGGCGUCGCAUUAUUCAUUCAUUGAUUGUAUGUACAUUUUUUAUAUGUUAAAGUAUAUUUUUCUUCUUUAAUAAAAUGUCUUCAGAAAAUGUAUCAUGUCUUUAUUUGUUA